GUCCAGACUCCUACGGGAGGCAGCAGUGGGGAAUAUUGCACAAUGGGGGAAACCCUGAUGCAGCGACGCCGCGUGAGCGAUGAAGUAUUUCGGUAUGUAAAGCUCUAUCAGCAGGGAAGAAGAUGACGGUACCUGACUAAGAAGCCCCGGCUAACUACGUGCCAGCAGCCGCGGUAAUACGUAGGGGGCAAGUGUUAUCCGGAUUUACUGGGUGUAAAGGGAGCGUAGACGGCGAUGCAAGCCAGAUGUGAAAGCCCGGGGCUCAACCCCGGGACUGCAUUUGGAACUGUGUGGCUGGAGUGUCGGAGAGGCAGGCGGAAUUCCUAGUGUAGCGGUGAAAUGCGUAGAUAUUAGGAGGAACACCAGUGGCGAAGGCGGCCUGCUGGACGAUGACUGACGUUGAGGCUCGAAAGCGUGGGGAGCAAACAGGAUUAGAUACCCCCGUAUCC
This 449-nucleotide ribosomal RNA is filed under the name uncultured bacterium. RNAcentral describes it as "bacterial SSU rRNA". It matches the Rfam family "Bacterial small subunit ribosomal RNA", at positions 329 to 795 of the family's 1533-position model. The record is from RNAcentral.